AACGAACGCUGGCGGCAUGCCUAACACAUGCAAGUCGAACGAGACCUUCGGGUCUAGUGGCGCACGGGUGCGUAACGCGUGGGAACCUGCCCUUAGGUUCGGAAUAACUCCCCGAAAGGGGUGCUAAUACCGGAUGAUGUCUUCGGACUAAAGAUUUAUCGCCUUUGGAUGGGCCCGCGUUGGAUUAGCUAGUUGGUAGGGUAAAAGCCUACCAAGGCGACGAUCCAUAGCUGGUCUGAGAGGAUGAUCAGCCACACUGGGACUGAGACACGGCCCAGACUCCUACGGGAGGCAGCAGUGGGGAAUAUUGGACAAUGGGCGAAAGCCUGAUCCAGCAAUGCCGCGUGAGUGAUGAAGGCCUUAGGGUUGUAAAGCUCUUUUACCCGGGAUGAUAAUGACAGUACCGGGAGAAUAAGCUCCGGCUAACUCCGUG
This 433-nucleotide ribosomal RNA is filed under the name uncultured bacterium. RNAcentral's name for it is "partial 16S ribosomal RNA". It matches the Rfam family "Bacterial small subunit ribosomal RNA", at positions 29 to 507 of the family's 1533-position model. The record is from RNAcentral.